Molecule: long non-coding RNA, 1938 nt
Organism: Malaclemys terrapin pileata
Lineage: Eukaryota; Metazoa; Chordata; Testudines; Emydidae
Exons: 2
Source: RefSeq, a predicted model, not a curated record
AGUCAUCAUUGGCUUAGAAAACUUCCUUUUCUGAGCACCAUUGCCAUUCGAAAUUUACUAGCGUGCCACAGUGGAAAGUGGCCGAGCUCAGCUGGUGUGCGAUGUUUGUGUACUGCAAACGAAGAAAUAUGUGGAGUAUUGUAUACUCAUGGACUCUAGAGCUGUGCACUUUAUUGCGAUGGGGAUAGGCAUACCACCCUGUGCCAACAGACCCCCUAACACGAUCUGGACUUGUAUUGACACCGUGGGGGACCUCUGUAUUGCUAUCAACCUUUUGUUCUGAUUAUUGUUGGGAACCCUGGGGCCUAAUUGACUGCCAGAUCUACCCCUUGGCCUAAGCUGCGAGAGCUCAUCUCCCUACUCACUCUCUCUAUGCGGGGAUGGGGACUAAGGGGUCUGUAAACUCCACAGUCAGUACAGGUCACUUGAGCUGAAUUCUCUCGACUUGCAUUCUGAGAUGCUGCUCCCGCUUGACAAGUGGUAAAUAUUCUGAACCAGCAGAGGUUGAAGGUUCCAAAGAUGGUCCUAGAAGCGCCCUUAAACUGUGAGGUGCCUUUCAGCAGUACGAGAAGGGACUUUUCCGUCCCAAGCCCACAGUCGAAGGACUAACAGGCAAGUUACGGGGGGGAAUGGACCAAAAAAAGAAUUCUCUGUACAAAUCAACAAGAUCUGCUAUAGGCAGCACAGCAGAAGUGGACUCUGAAGAGAAACUUCUAAAUGGAGGGGGGAGGGGUCUCGGAGCUUGCUUCUGACACAGGCACUAAGGGUGUGACAUGCCCCAUUCUGCUGAGAAACGCAGUGCAGGCAAAUGGAACGAAAGUAGCUUGUUUAGCUAGUGAGACUCUUCUGCUGAGAUCUGCUCUGUCACUGUAACUCUCAAUUUUGCUUUGAGAAGUGGAGUCGAUGGCUGGGAACCAGAGUCCUGAGAAGAAUCAGUCGCUGAAGAACCUGCAGGAAGAUGCCUGGGGAUGGACUUGAGCAAAUGGUAUGGCGUGUCUGUUUCUCUUACCCCCGCAUGGGAUAGCUGAGUAGCUGUAUUUCUCCAGCCCUAACGCCUGGCGGGACUUGCCACACAAACCACUAGAAGCAUAUUCUCGAGUCACGGAGAACUCUGAAAUCUCUUCGGCUGUUUGGCUUCUGCUCUCAUCACUCGGUCUGUGGUGGCCAGACUUUUUGCUAGGCCUUUAUUGCCAGCGGUACAGGGCUGCCUCUUCCAGCCGCUGAGAGAGGACUUUGUAGUGUUGUUUCCCACUGAGCGUCUUUUCCUGCCUCAGGGCUGUCGGGUUCCAUCCCUAUCUGCCGGGGGGUGGGAGGUGGGGUGGGAAUGAACAGGGUUUCAUGCUGCUUUGCCUUGCUUAAUACUUGGAGCUGCUUAUUUAUAUCACGUGCUUUUUUCACUGGAUUUCCACAUUUACUGAAACCUUGUUUUCCCAGCUGACAUGGGGACACUAAGUCAAGGCAAGUAACUGGAGUUGGAUAAGCAGGCGACUGUCCUGUGUGUUUAGUACGAAUCGGGACAAGUCCUUGUUUCAGAGGUGGAAGUUCUCAGGUAAUAGAGGUUCCCCUGGUUUCCAUCAGUACAUGUGUUGUGCCCCUGAUUCCACCCAUUAGUAACAUUCACUACAUCUCUCCCCCCACUUGCGUGCACACUCUGUAGGUACAGGUCUGCCACUGAGGUGCCUGCCAUUGUAUGGCGCUGGCAAACCCAUGUCCCUCCCCAGCUACCAGGUGAUGCGUUCGCUGUAUGUGGGAUCUCUGACUUCCUGCAGCAGGUGGGCCCAGCUCUGAAAUGGGGGAUGAUGCAGCAGGUGCAGUGAAUAAAGACGCUGUGAGAACUUGAUAAAGUAAUGCCUAGUUUCUGUGUCGCUCUGCUUGGAGGGAAGGACGAGCAGUGCUAGUGUGAAUAAUGCCGCUGUAAAUAAAAUGUAUUCAAGUUUU